ACAUUUUUAAUAUAAAUAGUAUAUAAAGCUUCCAACUUUAAUGAUCGAAAGAAAAAUGUA
Molecule: transfer RNA, 60 nt
Filed under: Onychiurus orientalis
Lineage: Eukaryota; Metazoa; Arthropoda; Collembola; Poduromorpha; Onychiuridae
Description: tRNA-Gly
Source: RNAcentral